Molecule: non-coding RNA, 1007 nt
Organism: Zootermopsis nevadensis
Lineage: Eukaryota; Metazoa; Arthropoda; Insecta; Blattodea; Termopsidae
Source: RefSeq, a predicted model, not a curated record
AUUUCUCAGGCAUUCACAUCUUCCCAACAGGCAGCCUGGAACUUGAACUUGCCAACACAUUACAAAAGUAUAUUGACAGACUUGGAAUUGUGCAUGACCAGUCAAACUACAUGUAUUAUGUCUGGUUGCCAGAGGAUUACAUGAUAACACCUCUUUGAGCCUACAGCAUCCUUGAUAAUAUGACACACAGCACAUGUCUAGUAUCAUAUCCUGGUCUCAUAAUGUGUAGUACAUCUGUGCACAAUAUUGUAUUGAACACUACAAUAUCUUAUUUACAUUAAGAAUACUUAUUAAGAGUGAAAACACACAAGAAUGUAUAACUCUACUUGAGAACAUCACAGUUCUGAAAUAGGUGUUGUCUUCCCAAUGUGUUUCAGGCACUGAUCUUUGCUCCUGAAAUUCAAUGGAGAGAUUAAGGAAGUGUGUUGAGUACAGACACAAUGCUCUCUAUUGUUCUGGAUGUAAGAUAUUAUAUGUUUGGCUGUCAAGCAACAAUUUUGCUACAAUCGUGUGUGUGGUGCACUACUGCACAGUACAUAUUUAUAGAUAAAAUGUGAUUUCUGUCAUAGCAGACCUUAAUUAUAUAUUGUGUUCAAAAUAAUUGUAUGCUGCUUUAUAAAAUAUUAUUUUGAUGUCAUGUAUAAGGAACUGAAUAUGCUUAGAAAUUAUAAGUCUAUGUACCUUAAAACCCCCUAACUAUGGGCCACUUCAGACGAUUUUUUUCUCUGACGGCUAUACAAUUCACAUUUCCUCACUUUUUAGAAUUUGUGAAUGAUGCACAGAAAGCAAUGAAAGUCGUUACCCAUACCUUUUUAUGAGUUUUUGAAUAGUGGUACGUAGUUAGGUAUUGAAGUGCCAAAACUAUGAACCACAGAUCAAAUUCCACAUAUGGACAAUAGAUAAGUAGUAUAUAUUUAAGUAUAGGGCACUAAAUGUUGUAUUUACACUAUCAUGCCUCACAAUAAUGACAAUUAACUUUGAAAAGUCAGGAAUAAACAAUAAAAAAU